UGAAACACCCCCUCUGCCAUCUCCGUCCCUGAAACACCCCCUCUGCCAUCUCCAUCCCUGAAACACCCCCUCUGCCUUCUCCAUCCCUGAAACACCCCCUCUGCCAUCUCCAUCCAGGAAACACCCCCUCUGCCAUCUCCAUCCCUGAAACACCCCCUCUGCCAUCUCCAUCCAGGAAACACACCCUGCUUCAUUUUAUCAAGAGGUUGACAUGUUCAAGAGGGUAUGUUAUUCUAUUUUACUGAUAGAGCAAGCAUAUACAUUAAUCUUAU
Molecule: non-coding RNA, 272 nt
Organism: Pelobates cultripes (western spadefoot toad)
Lineage: Eukaryota; Metazoa; Chordata; Amphibia; Anura; Pelobatidae
Source: the annotation of a GenBank genome assembly